GAAACUCUAAGUGGCUUUGUGCAAA
Molecule: non-coding RNA, 25 nt
Filed under: Mus musculus (house mouse)
Lineage: Eukaryota; Metazoa; Chordata; Mammalia; Rodentia; Muridae
Source: RNAcentral